ACGGGAGGCAGCAGUGGGGAAUAUUGCACAAUGGGGGAAACCCUGAUGCAGCGACGCCGCGUGAGUGAUGAAGUACUUCGGUAUGUAAAGCUCUAUCAGCAGGGAAGAUAAUGACGGUACCUGACUAAGAAGCCCCGGCUAACUACGUGCCAGCAGCCGCGGUAAUACGUAGGGAGCGAGCGUUAUCCGGAUUUAUUGGGUGUAAAGGGUGCGUAGACGGGAAAUUAAGUUAGCUGUGAAAUCCCUCGGCUCAACCGAGGAACUGCAACUAAAACUGGUUUUCUUGAGUACUGGAGAGGAAAGUGGAAUUCCUAGUGUAGCGGUGAAAUGCGUUGAUAUUAGGAGGAACACCAGUGGCGAAGGCGACUUUCUGGACAGAAACUGACGUUGAGGCACGAAAGUGUGGGGAGCAAACAGGAUUAGAUACCCUGGUA
Molecule: ribosomal RNA, 434 nt
Rfam family: Bacterial small subunit ribosomal RNA